UACGUAGGGUGCAAGCGUUAAUCGGAAUUACUGGGCGUAAAGCGCGCGCAGGCGGUUUUCCAAGUCAGUGGUGAAAGCCCGGAGCUCAACUCCGGAACUGCCAUUGAAACUGUUGAACUUGAGGACGAGAGAGGUGAGUGGAAUUCCCAGUGUAGAGGUGAAAUUCGUAGAUAUUGGGAAGAACACCGGUGGCGAAGGCGGCUCACUGGCUCGUAUCUGACGCUCAGGCGCGAUAGCGUGGGGAUCAAACAGG
RNAcentral lists this ribosomal RNA (253 nucleotides) under uncultured bacterium. RNAcentral's name for it is "partial 16S ribosomal RNA". It matches the Rfam family "Bacterial small subunit ribosomal RNA", at positions 524 to 776 of the family's 1533-position model. The record is from RNAcentral.